CUCAGCUGGUGGUUUUGGGAUUGGGGAGAGAAGCUCAACUUGUCUAUGACUCUUCCUCUGAACUCUCUCAAGAACCUUGAUUGGAUCAGCCUUCUCUCCCUUGACAACCACCUUGUGACUCUUGCAAUCUGUGCUCACAUCUUCCACCCCUGAAAAAACAAACAUCAUCAAUUAAUUCUCAUAGACGCAUUGAAACAGACACAUUACACAUACAUGGCAAAUCUGAAAGAAAGUUGAAGAACAAUAGAAGAAGUACAAACCUUGAAAGCCUUUGAGGCACCUCUUGACCUUUCUAGCACAACCUUCACAAUGCAUAUAGACUCUGAGCACAAUUUCUUGAGGUGGUGGCGGAGGUGGCGGAGCAUCACCCUCUUUGGCCUCUUUGCCAUCCUUACCCUCUUCAGCUUUCUUCUCUUCCUUCUUCUCCUCAGCUGGUUUCUCUUCCUUCUUAUUCUCCUCAGCCUUCUUUUCCUCUUCAGGCUUUUUCACCUCCUCAG
RNAcentral lists this long non-coding RNA (497 nucleotides) under Fragaria vesca (wild strawberry). Its description in RNAcentral is "long non-coding RNA (FVES_LNC002067)". Lineage: Eukaryota; Viridiplantae; Streptophyta; Magnoliopsida; Rosales; Rosaceae. The record is from RNAcentral.